UACGUAGGGAGCAAGCGUUGUCCGGAAUCAUUGGGCGUAAAGCGCGCGUAGGCGGCCCGAUAAGUCCGCUGUAAAAGUCAACGGCUCAACUGUUGAAAGCCGGUGGAUACUGUCGGGCUAGAGUACGGAAGAGGCAAGUGGAAUUCCUGGUGUAGCGGUGGAAUGCGCAGAUAUCAGGAGGAACACCCAUAGCGAAGGCAGCUUGCUGGAACGUUACUGACGCUAGGGCGCGAAAGCGUGGGGAGCGAACAGG
This 253-nucleotide ribosomal RNA is filed under the name uncultured bacterium. Its description in RNAcentral is "partial 16S ribosomal RNA". It matches the Rfam family "Bacterial small subunit ribosomal RNA", at positions 524 to 776 of the family's 1533-position model. The record is from RNAcentral.